Xiphophorus hellerii (green swordtail) is the source of this 1095-nucleotide long non-coding RNA. RefSeq lists it as uncharacterized. The transcript is spliced from 2 exons. The record is from RefSeq and is a predicted model, not a curated record. NCBI's taxonomy places the organism in Eukaryota, Metazoa, Chordata, Actinopteri, Cyprinodontiformes, Poeciliidae.
CAUUUUUGUUCUCAGGUCCAUGUUCAGUUACUGAGGUCCUGUAGGUACCAGACCUGACAACAAAUACAAAAAGAGAAUCAAGCUCACUCAGAUGUAGCUAAACAAACUAGCGUAAAGUUGCAAUGCCCUCAGAAAUGUUCCACAUUUUGAAACAUAAUGACCCUAAGCAUUUUUUAAUGAGACAGACCAGGGGUGUGAAACUCAUUUUCAAUUUGGGCCACAUUUGGAUGUUCUCAAGGUCCCAAAAUGCAUUGAUAAGACCCUUUAAAAAACCUUUACCAUAUUAAUAAACAGCUGCCUCUGCAUUUGAUAAGUAUUCAACAUCUUUUCACAUUGAUCACAUUCGGAUUCCAUGAUUGCUUUUGUGAUUUUUUAAUUAUUUUGGAGUUACCAGUCAUUUAAACUAAAUGCUUUUGACUAUUUUUGUGGAGAAUUUGCAAUAAACUCACAGCUAUGCAUUAGCGCAAAAAAAAAAAAAAAGACAAAAAAAAAAAAAAAACAAUGCAGACAUUUGCUGAUUUUUGCAUGAAUUUGAAUUGGAGGGAAUGAUGGAUACAAUUUCACAUCUGGAGACUAGUAGGCCACAUAAAAAGAUAAGGCGGGCCUGAUUUGGCCCUGGGGCCUCGAGUUUGACACAUGUUUACUAGACCAACAAAAAUCAGUUCAGGGGAAGGAAAAAGGUACUUAGUCUAAAUGGUGUAAAUAAAAACUAGUUCUUACAUUUCCAAUCCCAGGUUUCUUAAACAUCAAUUUUGCAACCCAGAGUAAUGUAUUGACAGUUACAUUUUACUCUAACUUAUAAACUAAUAUAUCUGCAAUUCCUUCAUAAAUAUCCAGUAAAUCCUUCCUUACCUUGGACUCCUAAAAUCGGUUCUUAGAUAUGCGAGUAAAUGUACGAUCCUGUCUUCAAACGACAUUUCUUCUUCACACACUCAGCAGAUUGUUGGCCUGCUGACUUUGGCAGAUACAUUUGACACCAGGUGGUUUAGAAGUCCGAAUGUCUUAAAUGAAAACAAGUAAGUCUGGGUUUCUUCUGGUUUCCAUGGCAAUUCACCAUGGCAACUCUAGGAAUCAGACAAACUGCUGAAUUAUUGG